GACGAACGCUGGCGGCGUGCUUAGCACAUGCAAGUCGAACGGUGAAAGCGGAGCUUGCUCCGCUGGAUCAGUGGCGAACGGGUGAGUAACACGUGGGCAACCUGCCCCUCACUUCGGGAUAACUCCGGGAAACCGGGGCUAAUACCGGAUAUGACCUCCUUGGGCAUCCUUGGAGGUGGAAAGUUUUUCGGUGAGGGAUGGGCCCGCGGCCUAUCAGCGUGUUGGUGAGGUAGUGGCUCACCAAGGCGACGACGGGUAGCCGGCCUGAGAGGGCGACCGGCCACACUGGGACGGGGACACGGCCCAGAAUCCUCCGGGAGGGAGCAGUGGGGAAUAUUGCGCAAUGGGCGAAAGCCUGACGCAGCAACGCCGCGUGCGGGAUGACGGCCUUCGGGUUGUAAACCGCUUUCAGCAGGGAAGAAGCCGCAAGGUGACGGUACCUGCAGAAGAAGCACCGGCUAACUACGUGCCAGCCGCCGCGGUAA
RNAcentral lists this ribosomal RNA (485 nucleotides) under uncultured bacterium. Its description in RNAcentral is "partial 16S ribosomal RNA". It matches the Rfam family "Bacterial small subunit ribosomal RNA", at positions 28 to 523 of the family's 1533-position model. The record is from RNAcentral.